Molecule: long non-coding RNA, 1448 nt
Filed under: Portunus trituberculatus (swimming crab)
Lineage: Eukaryota; Metazoa; Arthropoda; Malacostraca; Decapoda; Portunidae
Description: uncharacterized LOC123514473, transcript variant X1
Source: RNAcentral
CCUUAGAAUGGUAGGAAUAGAAAUGACAAUAUAUGAGUGACAAAAUAUCACGAAAAUUCAAGUGAAACUACUGCAUUUAUUAAAGAGGUAAUUAAGACCGAUCAAAAUAUCGAGAUUAGAAAAAAAAUAAGGAAAAUAGAAACAACACCAAACUUUGGCAAAAAUAAACAAAAAAGAACUAACAAAAUAACAAUAAAUCUUCUCAAAACAACUGAAUAAAAGAUAUAUGCCUGACAAUCAUUCAAAUAUCAACAUUUAAAAAACAAAGAAAAUAAAUAAAAACUAAGAAGAAAAACAAAGCAAAAAAUACAAAGAAUAAUAAAAAUACAACAAAAACUUCUAUACAAGCAAAACGUAGUAAGAAAUAAAACAAAAUAGCAACAGGUAACACACACAGGUCCGCCCAACCCGUGUGUCACAAUGGCGGGCUAGCGGGUGGACGGCGGCAUUGAAGUGUUCCCGACUCGGUCAUCAUUUCCAGCGUGACCCAGAGGUGGCGGCGUCCAGUGCUGGUGUUAGGGACCCGAGCUAAGCUCUCUGUCUCCUGCCUCCUGGUCCACACUUGUCAUAUCUCUUUCAUCUGGUUGAUACACACCGCAUCUACAACAUCAAUAUUCAGUGUGUUCCACUACGCUGGUGUGGCCUUAAUGGUGACAGAGUGGCAGGCACCAGGCAGACUGAGUGAGGCUUCCUGUGGCCUGAGGAGCCUGCCCAGCUGCUGUGUGAUGGACUGGGAUUGUCUAACACAAAGUGAGCAGCAAGGGAGGACUUGGUGAAGGAUGAGGCAUAUCACUCACCUCUCUUCUGGUCCAAGCCUGCCGGUCAAUGCUUUCUUCUCAUCACCUAAAUUACUCAGACGGGCUCUUUGUGUUGGUGACCUUCCUGGCAGUCCUUUUCACUGCAACACACUGCUCCUGGUGCCUCGGUGCAGCAGUGUCUGGUCUGGCCUCCUCGGCACGCUCCACUGGCCUCGUCAGUGUGGGUCUCCUGCUGUGCAGCAAAUGUCAGCACUGCUCACACCACUGCUACAGACUUAGUGCAAGGAAGGAAAGGGAAACCACAGAAUCAGACCUCACCUAACAUCACUUGCUGUUCUCAGACUGACUGCAGGGAAGGAAAGGGACACCACAGAAUCAGACCUCACCUAACAUCACUUGCUGUUCCCCAGACUUAGUGCAAGGAGGAGGGAAAGGCACCACCAUUGCCACCAUGCCUUGAAUGUGUGUACCGCCAGUGUCCUGCUGUUCCUGCACUGCCCACACCUUGGUGAGGCUGAAUGCUGCUGCAACUCUCCUCCCCCAGGCUGACUCCCACCUGCAGGAUGAGUGUUGGGAUAUUGUGUCGAGAUAUGGAGGAAGAGGAGGAGGAGGAAAAAGAAGAAGAAAGAUAAGGAAAGGAAGAUAAAAAGGAAGAGAAGAAAUGAGAAGGAGCAGAGAAAAAAAGAAAAG